AUUGAACGCUGGCGGCAGGCCUAACACAUGCAAGUCGAGCGAGCGGCGGACGGGUGCGUAAUGUCUGGGAACCUGCCUGAUGGAGGGGGAUAACUACUGGAAACGGUAGCUAAUACCGCAUACCAUCGGAUGUGCCCAGAGGGGAUUAGCUAGUAGGUGGGGUAAAGGCUCACCUAGGCGACGAUCCCUAGCUGGUCUGAGAGGAUGACCAGCCACACUGGAACUGAGACACGGUCCAGACUCCUACGGGAGGCAGCAGUGGGGAAUAUUGCGCAAUGGGCGCAAGCCUGAUGCAGCCAUGCCGCGUGUGUGAAGAAGGCCUUCGGGUUGUAAAGCACUUUCAGCGAGGAGGCGUUACUCGCAGAGGAAGCACCGGCUAACUCCGUGCCAGCAGCCGCGGUAAUUC
RNAcentral lists this ribosomal RNA (406 nucleotides) under uncultured bacterium. Its description in RNAcentral is "partial 16S ribosomal RNA". It matches the Rfam family "Bacterial small subunit ribosomal RNA", at positions 30 to 526 of the family's 1533-position model. The record is from RNAcentral.